This 250-nucleotide ribosomal RNA is filed under the name uncultured bacterium. RNAcentral's name for it is "partial 16S ribosomal RNA". It matches the Rfam family "Bacterial small subunit ribosomal RNA", at positions 524 to 772 of the family's 1533-position model. The record is from RNAcentral.
CACGUAGGCCCCAAGCGUUGUCCGGAUUUAUUGGGCGUAAAGAGCUCGUAGGCGGUUCGAUAAGUCGGGUGUGAAAUCUUUGGGCUUAACCCAAAGCGUGCAUUCGAUACUGUUGUGACUAGAGUUCGGUAGGGGAGUGGGGAAUUCCUAGUGUAGCGGUGAAAUGCGCAGAUAUUAGGAGGAACACCGGUGGCGAAGGCGCCACUCUGGGCCGAAACUGACGCUGAGGAGCGAAAGCGUGGGUAGCAAA